This 253-nucleotide ribosomal RNA is filed under the name uncultured bacterium. RNAcentral describes it as "partial 16S ribosomal RNA". It matches the Rfam family "Bacterial small subunit ribosomal RNA", at positions 524 to 776 of the family's 1533-position model. The record is from RNAcentral.
UACGUAGGGUGCAAGCGUUGUCCGGAAUUAUUGGGCGUAAAGAGCUCGUAGGCGGUUUGUUGCGUCGGCUGUGAAAUCCCGAGGCUCAACCUCGGGUCUGCAGUCGAUACGAGCAAACUAGAGUGUUGCAGGGGAGACUGGAAUUCCUGGUGUAGCGGUGAAAUGCGCAGAUAUCAGGAGGAACACCGGCGGCGAAGGCGGGUCUCUGGGCCGAUAUCGACGCUGAGGAGCGAAAGCGUGGGGAGCGAACAGG